UUCUUUAUUGGAUGAAGACCGCAAAACUUAAGAGUUUCAUUUUUCUUUUUUCCAGAAAUGCAGUGAGGAUUCUAGAUUCCAGUUUUAAACCAGGAAUCCCCCGAGGGGAACGGGUGGCAACCAGCAGGCAACAAUGUCCCAACUUCAAAUUGUAGUUGAAUCGAUUUUUAACUUUCUAAUGCAAUGCCACGAUUUUCAUACAGAUUGUUACCUUG
Molecule: long non-coding RNA, 215 nt
Filed under: Elaeis guineensis (African oil palm)
Lineage: Eukaryota; Viridiplantae; Streptophyta; Magnoliopsida; Arecales; Arecaceae
Description: long non-coding RNA (EGUI_LNC025326)
Source: RNAcentral